UUGCUUCUCUUGAGAGCGGCGGACGGGUGAGUAAUGCCUAGGAAUCUGCCUGGUAGUGGGGGAUAACGUUCGGAAACGGACGCUAAUACCGCAUACGUCCUACGGGAGAAAGCAGGGGACCUUCGGGCCUUGCGCUAUCAGAUGAGCCUAGGUCGGAUUAGCUAGUUGGUGGGGUAAUGGCUCACCAAGGCGACGAUCCGUAACUGGUCUGAGAGGAUGAUCAGUCACACUGGAACUGAGACACGGUCCAGACUCCUACGGGAGGCAGCAGUGGGGAAUAUUGGACAAUGGGCGAAAGCCUGAUCCAGCCAUGCCGCGUGUGUGAAGAAGGUCUUCGGAUUGUAAAGCACUUUAAGUUGGGAGGAAGGGUUGUAGAUUAAUACUCUGCAAUUUUGACGUUACCGACAGAAUAAGCACCGGCUAACUCUGUGCCAGCAGCCGCGGUAAUACAGAGGGUGCAAGCGUUAAUCGGAAUUACUGGGCGUAAAGCGCGCGUAGGUGGUUAGUUAAGUUGGAUGUGAAAUCCCCGGGCUCAACCUGGGAACUGCAUUCAAAACUGACUGACUAGAGUAUGGUAGAGGGUGGUGGAAUUUCCUGUGUAGCGGUGAAAUGCGUAGAUAUAGGAAGGAACACCAGUGGCGAAGGCGA
Molecule: ribosomal RNA, 648 nt
Filed under: Pseudomonas fluorescens
Lineage: Bacteria; Pseudomonadati; Pseudomonadota; Gammaproteobacteria; Pseudomonadales; Pseudomonadaceae
Description: bacterial SSU rRNA
Rfam family: Bacterial small subunit ribosomal RNA
Source: RNAcentral